AUUGAACGCUGGCGGCAUGCCUUACACAUGCAAGUCGAACGGCAGCACGGGAGCUUGCUCCUGGUGGCGGAGUGGCGAACGGGUGAGUAAAGCAUCGGAACGUGCCCUGAAGUGGGGGAUAACGUAGCGAAAGUUACGCUAAUACCGCAUAUUCUGUGAGCAGGAAAGCAGGGGAUCUUCGGACCUUGUGCUUUAGGAGCGGCCGAUGUCGGAUUAGCUAGUUGGUGAGGUAAAGGCUCACCAAGGCGACGAUCCGUAGCGGGUCUGAGAGGAUGAUCCGCCACACUGGGACUGAGACACGGCCCAGACUCCUACGGGAGGCAGCAGUGGGGAAUUUUGGACAAUGGGCGCAAGCCUGAUCCAGCCAUGCCGCGUGAGUGAAGAAGGCCUUCGGGUUGUAAAGCUCUUUCGGCGGGGAAGAAAUUGCACUCUCUAAUACAGGGUGUAGAUGACGGUACCCGCAUAAGAAGCACCGGCUAACUACGUG
RNAcentral lists this ribosomal RNA (487 nucleotides) under uncultured bacterium. RNAcentral describes it as "bacterial SSU rRNA". It matches the Rfam family "Bacterial small subunit ribosomal RNA", at positions 30 to 507 of the family's 1533-position model. The record is from RNAcentral.